Molecule: long non-coding RNA, 807 nt
Organism: Acanthopagrus latus (yellowfin seabream)
Lineage: Eukaryota; Metazoa; Chordata; Actinopteri; Spariformes; Sparidae
Exons: 3
Source: RefSeq, a predicted model, not a curated record
AGCAGGUGUGCCCUUCUCAAGGGCAUGGGUAUUGACAUCAAGCAGUACUUCAUGUUCCAGAUGAAAGAGUCGAAGAGAGAGGAAUAGCCAACAUCAACCUUGAUCUGCACUGAGGACUUGGCUUACUCGCAGCCUAAUGUAGACACAUGGUCCCUCUCGGUUAUUCAGUUUCAUCAUGUCUCAGGUAGACUCCAGGGUUACAUAUCAGCUGGAACUGAACUUUGCCUGGCAAAUGGUUCAGCAGCAUUGUUGGUGUGAACAUCGAGGGAUAAAAAUAUCAGUACAAGAAUGAGAUGCUGGAGGAUAGCAUUAUGCAGGUUUUGAUCUUUUUUAUGUUUUGGUAAUAAGUUGUUCAUGAAGAGCUCCCAUGAAGAAAGAUGCUCAGGAUUUACUCUUGCGUACACAUUAUGCAUUUGCCAAAGCCUCUGAGCUGUUCAGGUGUCUUUAUUCAGUUGUUACGUUCACCUCCUUCUUACCAUCUUAAAGGAAUUAGCGGACAUUUUGGGAUAUAAAAACGCAUAAUCUUUUCUUGCCUACAGUAAGAUAGAAAGAUCGGUGCCACUCUCAUAUGUGUCUGUGAAAUACUGAGUUAAUGCCUGGAGACAGUAAACUCAGCUCGGUAGGAGGAACAGAAGCAGGGAUAAAAAAAACAGCCAGGCUCUGUCCAAAGUCAAAAGUUUAAAAGAAUUAACAUGUUCUAACUUGAACUAUCAAACCAAAGUGAAGCAGUUACAUGCUGCGAUCUUUGCUUGCACAAGCUGCUUAUAGUCAUUGACUAAGCUCAGCUCUAUGGUUAGUGCAAAAAUA